Molecule: ribosomal RNA, 440 nt
Filed under: uncultured bacterium
Lineage: Bacteria
Description: partial 16S ribosomal RNA
Rfam family: Bacterial small subunit ribosomal RNA
Source: RNAcentral
CCUACGGGAGGCAGCAGUGGGGAAUAUUGCACAAUGGGGGAAACCCUGAUGCAGCGACGCCGCGUGAGUGAAGAAGUAUUUCGGUACGUAAAGCUCUAUCAGCAGGGAAGAAAAUGACGGUACCUGACUAAGAAGCCCCGGCUAACUACGGGCCAGCAGCCGCGGUAAUACGUAGGGGGCAAGCGUUAUCCGGAUUUACUGGGUGUAAAGGGAGCGUAGACGGCAGCGCAAGUCUGGAGUGAAAUCCCAUGGCUUAACCAUGGAACUGCUUUGGAAACUGUGCAGCUAGAGUGCAGGAGAGGUAAGCGGAAUGCCUAGUGUAGCGGUGAAAUGCGUAGAUAUUAGGAGGAACACCAGUGGCGAAGGCGGCUUACUGGACUGUAACUGACGUUUAGGCUCGAAAGCGUGGGGAGCAAACAGGAUUAGAUACCCCUGUAGUC